UGACCCAUUCACUUCCUGUUUAAGUUAGGGC
This 31-nucleotide non-coding RNA is filed under the name Rattus norvegicus (Norway rat). Lineage: Eukaryota; Metazoa; Chordata; Mammalia; Rodentia; Muridae. The record is from RNAcentral.